Molecule: ribosomal RNA, 467 nt
Filed under: uncultured bacterium
Lineage: Bacteria
Description: partial 16S ribosomal RNA
Rfam family: Bacterial small subunit ribosomal RNA
Source: RNAcentral
ACGAACGCUGGCGGCGUGCUUAACACCUGCCAGUCGAACGGAAAGGCCCUGCUUUUGUGGGGUGCUCGAGUGGCGAACGGGUGAGUAACACGUGAGUAACCUGCCCUUGACUUUGGGAUAACUUCAGGAAACUGGGGCUAAUACCGGAUAGGAGCUCCUGCUGCAUGGUGGGGGUUGGAAAGUUUCGGCGGUUGGGGAUGGACUCGCGGCUCAUCAGCUUGUUGGUGGGGUAGUGGCUUACCAAGGCUUUGACGGGUAGCCGGCCUGAGAGGGUGACCGGCCACAUUGGGACUGAGAUACGGCCCAGACUCCUACGGGAGGCAGCAGUGGGGAAUAUUGCACAAUGGGCGGAAGCCUGAUGCAGCAACGCCGCGUGCGGGAUGACGGCCUUCGGGUUGUAAACCGCUUUCGCCUGUGACGAAGCGUGAGUGACGGUAAUGGGUAAAGAAGCACCGGCUAACUACGUG